AAUCAGUUUGCAGCAAGCAGAAAAACAGGAAUGGGGAGUAACCCGACUAACAAUGCAGGAACAACAUAAAGAAUACAGGAAGCUGCAGAGACGAGAAAUGAAACUUAACUGAGACCGACGGUUGCAGCCAAGAUGAGUCCAGGGUAUGCUAUCCAAGUCCCGCUGUUGUCGAUCAGACUCACAUUGGGAUCAGUUGACAAAUAGGACCUUGGUUUAACGGAGGGUCCGAGGGACCGCUCCGGCCUUCGUCUCCUGUCUCCGCUGGAGGGUCCGAGGGACCGCUCCGGCCUUUGUCUCCUGUCUCCGCUGGAGGGUCCGAAGGACCGCUCCGGCCUUUGUCUCCUGUCUCCACUGGAGGGUCUGCAGCGCCUCUGGCUUCCACGCCGCCGCCUGCAGCGCCUCCGGCUCUGGCUUCCACGCCACCGCCUGCAGCGCCGCCGCCUGCAGCUCGUCAUCCUCGCCUGGCCCAGCCUCCGUGUCUUCAGCGUCGCCUGGUCCAGCCUCCAUGUUUUCAGCGUCGCCUGGUCCAGCCUCCGUGUCUCCGCCUUCAGUGUCGCCUGGCCCUGCCUCGUUUGGGUCUGCAGCUAAACGGCCGCUUUCUAGGCCGCUGGCCAGGCAACUGGCCAGGCGCCAUCGCCGUCGUGGGCAGUUCCCAGACCCUCUUUGCCUGAGUGGCCGCCGUGGCCCUCCGCACGGCCGGCUCCGGCUUCCACGCCGCCGCCUGCAGCGCCUCCGUCUCCGGCUUCCACGCUGCCGCCUGCAGCGCCGUCUGGUCCAGCUGCAGCCUCGUCAUCCUCGCCUGGUCCAGCUGCAGCCUCGUCAUCCUCGCCUGGCCCAGCCUCCGUGUCUUCAGCGUCGCCUGGUCCAGCCUCCGUGUUUUCAGCGUCGCCUGGUCCAGCCUCCGUGUCUCCGCCUUCAGUGUCGCCUGGCCCUGCCUCGUUUGGGUCUGCAGCUAAACGGCCGCUUUCUAGGCCGCUGGCCAGGCAACUGGCCAGGCGCCAUCGCCGUCGUGGGCGGUCCCCAGACCCUCUUCGCCUGAGUGGCCACCGUGGCCUUCCGCACGGCCGGCCCCCGGACCGCCAUCGCCUGAGUGGCCGCCAUUGCCUUCCGCACGGCCGGCCCCCAGACCCUCCUCGCCUGAGUGGCCGCCGUUGCCGUCCGCACGGCCAGCUCCCAGACCCUCUUCGCCUGAGUGGCCGCCGUUGCCUUCCACACGGCCGGCUCCCGGACCAGUGCUGUCGCCGUUGCCUUCCGCACGGCCGGCCCCCGGACCAGUGCUGUCGUCGUCGCCGUUGCCUUCUGCACGGUCGGCCCCCUGAACUGUUUGGACUCCUGUGCUGGCCGGCCCCCUGACCUUUUCUGUUUUGGACUCUGUUUUCCUGUGCUCUGGUGUGCUUCUUUUCUUUUGGUUUGGACUCGUGUUUUGUUUUUAUUUUUGUCUUUUGGCCUUCUAGUGCUCCUGUUUUGUUUUGCCUUUGUUAGUUUUACCCAGUUUAGGUUCCAGUUUCAUGUUCCCAGUGCCUUUGUUGUUUGUUUUUCCCUUCGUUAAUAAAUACUCACCUGCACCAGAGCUGCCGCGUCCUGGUCCUAAAUAUUCCACACGGCUUGCCCUGGCAAACCGUGACAACGUUAUUGUUUCGGUGAAGUGAAUUUCUACAAUACUGUUACUGUUAAUUGUUCUCUCUGCACUGUUUAAAUGCUUACAUAUACACACACAGUUACUGUCCCUCCACACAUACGACUCGGUUCUGCUUCUAUCCCCCAUCUUUGUUUACUAUUUCCCACCGAGGCUUCUAGACUUCUGAUUGGCCAACAUUUCUACACAGUUAGGAAUAUAUCGCCACCUGUUGCUUUGGCAUGUUCUUAGCAGCGUUUUCCUUCAUUUUUGCGUUUACAUGUGGACGGGAUUAUUUUUUUUAAACGAAAACGGAAAAUCUCCGUUUUCAAAAAUACCUGUUUACAUGUGGACGUAGCCUUAGAUUACGAUGACCUGGAUGACUGAGAACCUUCACAGACACUAUGCUCAAAGCAGUUCAGCUCUGGUGUUUUCUCUGUAUUAUUUCAAAGUGUUUACCUUAUUACCAAAUCACAACAACAGUCACCUCAAGGUGCUUUAUAUUUAAAGCGUGACUGUUGUGAUUUAGUGUUAUACAAAUAAAAUGUAAUUGAAUUUAACUGAACAGAAUCUAACACCAAUAAAAUGCCUAUAUAUUACAGAGGAAAACAUUGCUAAGAAUAAGUCAAUGAGAUUUUGUUUUGUUAACACCAGAACAUGCAAUUGAAAAUAUACUGAAGUGAAUUAAUAUACCUCUAUAAAGACUAAAAACUGUAUGGCUAUUUUUAAAUUGAGCUGCUGAAAGUAAACGGUUUAUUUAAGUCUGUCUAACCCGGAAUGUGCCCCACUUAGUUUGCCAGUGCUGGUUACUAGCAUCAGCAUGGAAGUGGAAAUCUAAGUUGCAAAAACACUUGAAAUGCACUUUCUAUGAAGUAUGAGACAUUUUGUAUCCAAUAAUAGUAGUUUUGAGAAUUAAAUUAAAUGUACAUUGCUUCUCUUCACAUCCCCAACUAAGUACUUCACUAAUCUAUCUUUACUGUUAUAUCUUAUUAGUAUUUUAAGUAUUCUAUCUAUUUUAUUUAUUGAAUUUUAUUGUUUUAUUUAUAUUUUGAUAUUGCUAGGGAUGAUGCAAUGAUCGGGGACCAUUCUUAAUUUCGUUGUUCUCAUGACAAUGACAAUAAAGUUUCUGAUUCUGAAGAUUAAA
This is a long non-coding RNA of Astatotilapia calliptera (eastern happy), 2759 nucleotides long. The record is from Ensembl. NCBI's taxonomy places the organism in Eukaryota, Metazoa, Chordata, Actinopteri, Cichliformes, Cichlidae.